Molecule: long non-coding RNA, 299 nt
Organism: Trifolium pratense (red clover)
Lineage: Eukaryota; Viridiplantae; Streptophyta; Magnoliopsida; Fabales; Fabaceae
Exons: 2
Source: RefSeq, a predicted model, not a curated record
AAUUUCUCUUGAAACAUAGAAAUAAGAAAAAAGGAGGCUUUGGGAGAAGAAAGAAAGAAAAGAGAAGAAAAGUCUAGGAGAUUAGAAGAAGCUCAAGAGAAGGAUUAGAGAUUUCAACUUAUUAAGGUUCUCAGAUUGUAUGUUUGUUGGUGUUCGCGUUGUUGGUGAAAGCUCUGCUCUGAUUGUGACACGGGGAAGGGUUCAUAGAGUCUUUAUUUGUUGUUGUUUUAUUUAAAUUAAAUGUGUAUAUUGUAUAAAAGGAAUUUUGCACAAGUGAUAUUUACUACUCAAUUUUAUUA